Molecule: ribosomal RNA, 253 nt
Filed under: uncultured bacterium
Lineage: Bacteria
Description: partial 16S ribosomal RNA
Rfam family: Bacterial small subunit ribosomal RNA
Source: RNAcentral
UACGGAGGGGGUUAGCGUUGUUCGGAAUUACUGGGCGUAAAGCGCGCGUAGGCGGACCAGAAAGUUGGGGGUGAAAUCCCGGGGCUCAACCCCGGAACGGCCUCCAAAACUCCUGGUCUUGAGUUCGAGAGAGGUGAGUGGAAUUCCGAGUGUGGAGGUGAAAUUCGUAGAUAUUCGGAGGAACACCAGUGGCGAAGGCGGCUCACUGGCUCGAUACUGACGCUGAGGUGCGAAAGUGUGGGGAGCAAACAGG